AAGAACCUGGCGGCGUGCUUACACAUGCAAGUCGCGUGCGCGGUUCCGUAGCAAUACGGGAUGGGCGCACGGCGCACGGGUGCGUAACACGUGGGCAAUCUGCCCUCCGAUGGGGAAUAACCCCGCGAAAGCGGGGCUAAUACCGCAUAACAUUCCUUGGACUAUGGUUUGAGGACUCAAAGCAGCAAUGCGUCGGAGGAGGAGCCCGCGCCCGAUUAGCUAGUUGGUGAGGUAACGGCUCACCAAGGCAAUGAUCGGUAGCUGGUCUGAGAGGAUGGCCAGCCACACUGGAACUGAGACACGGUCCAGACUCCUACGGGAGGCAGCAGUGGGGAAUCUUGCGCAAUGGGCGAAAGCCUGACGCAGCGACGCCGCGUGGGGGAUGAAGCUUCUCGGAGUGUAAACCCCUUUCGACUGGGACGAAUGCCCGCAAGGGAGUGACGGUACCAGUAGAAGAAGCCCCGGCUAACUACGUGCCAGCAGCCGCGGUAAGACGUAGGGGGCCAGCGUUGUUCGGAAUUACUGGGUGUAAAGGGUUCGUA
RNAcentral lists this ribosomal RNA (542 nucleotides) under uncultured bacterium. Its description in RNAcentral is "bacterial SSU rRNA". It matches the Rfam family "Bacterial small subunit ribosomal RNA", at positions 29 to 573 of the family's 1533-position model. The record is from RNAcentral.